GUCAGUAGGUUUAGUCACGAAAUGGUAAGCCAGUGCUUUUAUAAUAUUAUAAUUGUAAAUAUUACAUAAAACCAAGUAAUUGAAUGGAUCCAGAGCAAAGUAAAUGUAGUCCUGUAAGUCUGUGCUGCUCCAAGAAGAAUGAAUAUUCCAAGCAUCCAAGUCAGACGAUUAUUUUUUACAUUCUAUCACAUAGGCUUGUGAAGCUGUGUAGACCCUCAGAUGAUUUGUACCAUCUGAGGCAAGAGACAAACUAAACUUUGAUAUGUGUAUUAAUCACAGUAUAGUAGAGCAUCUCGUCUUUUACAGUGGAAAUACAUCAUUUUUAUUUAAUUAUAAUCAGUUCAAUUUGCUGUGCAUUGGUUUUUGUUUUUACUUUUUGAAUUAAGUUCUAAAAUAAAUUCAAUAAAGUGUGUAAAGUACAUUUACUUUAGAAAUAUGUUUUAUUAACCACCCAGAUCAAGGUACAGAAUUUUUCCAGUACCCAGAAUAUUCAUCCUUGUGACCCUUCCCAGACAGUAUCCAUCUCACCCCCACUACCUAUUCUGACUUCUGUCACCACCAGUUAAUUUUACCUGUUUUUGAACCUCAUUUAAAUAGAAUUGUGUAGCAUGUUCUUUUUCUGAGUGUGUAUCGGCUUCAGUUAAUGUAAUGUGUUUCUUUGAGGUAUGUGCAUGUUGUUAAGUAUAUAUGUAUGUUUUUAGGUUUGUUUUGUUUUUGCUAUGUAGUAUUUCAUUCUCCUGAUAAUAGAUACUUGGAGUUUUUUUGGUUUGUUUGUUUGGUUUUGACUACUGUGAAAAAACUACAAAGAAUAUUCCAGAAGUGUCUGGGUAGAUAUGCACUGAUUUCUUUUGGGUAUAUACUGAAGAGUGAGAUUUUUAGCCUUACAAUAGGUACUGCCAGAGUAUCUACUUUUCCAGAGUAGUUGUACCUCCGCUUCUCCUAGUUAUGUGUGACUGUUCUAGUCCUUGUUCACACUUGUAUCACUAGUCUUUUCUAAUUUUAGCCAUUUUGGUGGGUAUAUAGGGAUAUCUCAUGGUGGUUUUAAUUUGCAUUUCCUUGAUGGGUAAUGAUGUCAGACACCUUUCCUUGGAUAUCCCUUUUUACGAAGCGCCCAUUCAAGUCACUUUCUCAUUAUUAAAAUUUUGUUAUUUUGUCUAUUUGUUAAUUACUUUCUAAGAAUUCUUAAAAUAUUCUCAUAUGAGUCUUUUGUUAGAUAUAUGUAUUACAACUAUUUUCCCCAAUGUGUGGCUUACCUUUAUUCUCUCUGAAUGAUGUUUGGUGAACAGAAGUUUUUAUUUUAAUGGCAUCUAAUUCCUUAUUUUCCCUCAUUUAUGAUUAUUGCUACUUACGAAAUCUUUGCUUACCCCCAAGGUUGUAUUUAUUUUUAAGGCAGUCUACAGAGAGUUUAUGGAGAAUGCUUUGAAAACAUGUGACUUUAAAGUUGUAUGUCUCAUGGUGGAGUAAAUUAAUGCUCCCCCCCCAUCAUUUCUCUAUGAUGAAACAGAAAAACACUACUUCAGUAUUCUAAGUAGGAAAUUAAUCACAAAUGUAUAGAAUACUGUCCGUUUUAAAAUAUAUGCUUAAGGGAUCAGAACUCAAGUUCACACUGAAAAUAAUUUCCUCGUCUCAUUGAAAUGCAAAAUGAAAUAAUUUGUCAAGCUUUGGUAAUUAAUAAGGUAAAGUGUAUAUAUAUAGGGAUUAAAUUACUGAUAAUUAUUAAACUUUUAAUAAUGUUUUUGAACUAUAAAUGUGAAGUUCCAGAUUGAAGGGAAGCAGAGAAGGGUGUUGGAGGGCUGCGUGAAGCUGAUUGUGUCAGGCCUAAUAGGCCAUUAAGGUUUUUGGCUUUUAUUCUAAGAUAGAGUCAUGAGAGGAUUUUGAGCAGAGGAAUGACUUGGUCAUAGAGGAUUGCUCUGACUGCUCAUAUUAAAAAGAGACUAAGUGGGAGCAAGGAGAUGGCGAGACUAUUAAAACAGUCCAGAAGAGAAAUGAUGUUGGUUUGAUCCAAGACUGUAGCCGAGGAGGUAGUGAGAAAUGGUUGGAUUUUGGAUGUGUUUUCAAGGUAGAGUUAGAGUCAAACUCUGAUAAAAGAAGGAGAUGAGCCAGAGAUGAUUUUAAGAUCAUUUUGACCUUUGAUUGUGAUUACAUGAAUUCAGCUCAUAGUAUAUGUUACAUUUCUUUUUAAUGACCAGAAAUUUGAGCAGAGUUUUUUUAUAAAGUUGUUAAUCAUCACAUUGUCAUAAUCCUACAACCCAAAAAGCCUACCAGUAGGGGAAGAUGGAACGUAAUAGCAGCUUUUAAAAAGAUUUAUGAAUUAUUUUAAUACAUUGGAAAAUGCCUAUAAUGUUAGUUUUAAAAAACUAAGAUAUGAAAUAAUAUGUAGUGAAUUUUCUAUUUAAAAUUAUAUAUCAUACAUUUACAGAAAAGAAGAGGAAAGAGUCUAGAGUCAUAAAAAUCUUGAGUGGUUAUUCCUCCUGAGCAAUAGGGUUAAAGACCCUGACAACCACUCAUCAGUUUUCUGUCUGUAUGGAUUUGCUUAUUCUGGACAUUUCAUUAAAAUGGAGUCAUACAAUUAGUAAACUGAAAAAUGGAAAAGUCAAAGAACUUACCCUCAGUUCAUAGUAAGUACGUUGUGAAGCCAGUAUUCUAACCUAGGUUGUCCCACCUCAGAGCCCCACUAUGAUAAUCUUUUGUUUCCUUUCCAAGGGAGGUGGCCCCAAGCAAAAGCCUCUGAGGAAGUGUGGUGUAUACUCUUUUGAAAGAAUACAGAUAUGAGGGGAGUACACUGAAAGUAGCUCAGGACAGGUGGGGUCUUUUUUUUCUUUCUUUUUGGCCACACUGCGCCACAUGCAGGAUCUUAGUUUCCCAACCAGGGGUAGAAUCUGUGGUCCCUGCAGUGGAAGCUCAGAAUCUUAACCACUGGACCACAAGGGAAGUCCCAGGGUGGGGUCUUAUGGAAGAAGAGAAGUGAGUGGGAUAAGAAACUCAAGAAAUAGAUGAAGCCAAAUUGUACAAAACUUUCCUGUUCAUUUAAGAGAGUUUAAUGAGAUUGGACUAUGCAUUUUUUUUCACAUCUUUAUUGGAGUAUAAUUGCUUUACAAUGGCGUGUUGGUUUCUGCCUUACAACAAAGUGAAUCAGCUAUACAUGUGCAUAUAUCCCCAUAUCUCCUCCCUCUUGCGUCUCUAUCCCACCCGUCUAGAUGGUCACAAAGCACCAAGCUGAUCUCUUUGUACUAUGUGGCUGCUUCCCACUAGCUAUCUAUUUUACGUUUGGUAGUGUAUAUAUAUCCAUGCCACUCUCUCACUUUGUCCCAGCUUACCCUUCCCCUUCCCCGUGUCCUCAAGUCCAUUCUCUACAUCUGCAUCUUUAGUCCUGUUCUGCCCCUAGGUUUUUCAGAACCUUUUCUUUCUUAGAUUCCAUACAUAUGUGUUAACAUACAGUAUUUGUUUUUCUCUUUCUGACUUACUUCACUCUGUAUGACAGACUCUAGGUCCAUCACCUCACUACAAAUAACUGAAUUUUGUUUCCUUUUAUGGCUGAGUAAUAUUCCAUUGUAUAUAUGUGCCACAUCUUCUUUAUCCAUUCAUCUGUUGAUGGACACAUAGGUUGCUUCCAUGUCAUGGCUAUUGUA
Orcinus orca (killer whale) is the source of this 3629-nucleotide long non-coding RNA. RefSeq lists it as uncharacterized. The record is from RefSeq and is a predicted model, not a curated record. The transcript is spliced from 3 exons. NCBI's taxonomy places the organism in Eukaryota, Metazoa, Chordata, Mammalia, Artiodactyla, Delphinidae.